GCGCUGCCCUCUGCGUAUUUCCUUCCCCACCGUGGGACUCUAACUAAGUCAAUUUUCCCACCCUGAAAGCGGCAAGUACCUAUUGUACUACUCACCAAGAAAAUCUACGGGAAUAGUUCUCAACAUCUUCCAGUUAAUUACAAGCAAAGUAACGCUCUGAAUAAGGCGCUGCCCUCUGCGUAUUUCCUUCCCCACCGUGGGACUCUAACUAAGUCAAUUUUCCCGCCCUGAAAGCGGCAAGUACCUAUUGUACUACUCACCAAGAAAAUCUACGGGAAUAGUUCUCAACAUCUUCCAGUUAAUUACAAGCAAAGUAACGCUCUGAAUAAGGCGCUGCCCUCUGCGUAUUUCCUUCCCCACCGUGGGACUCUAACUAAGUCAAUUUUCC
Molecule: long non-coding RNA, 388 nt
Organism: Protopterus annectens (West African lungfish)
Lineage: Eukaryota; Metazoa; Chordata; Ceratodontiformes; Protopteridae
Exons: 3
Source: RefSeq, a predicted model, not a curated record